CCCUUAGAUGUUCUGGGCAGCACGCACGCUACAAUGGUCUUCGCAAACGGAUGCAUUCUCGAAGGAGAAUGCCAAUCUUGGAAUCUAUGCCUUGGUCGGGACAGUUGCUUGCAAUUUUUCGACUCGAACCAGGAAUUCCUUGUAAUCGUGAUUCAUCACAUCACGAUGAAUACGUCCCUGCCCUUUGUACACACCGCCCGUCGCUCCUACCGAUCGAAGAGUUAGGUGAAUUGUUUUGAUCGAUAAGAUUUGACUAUGGUCAACUCUCGUUGUGAAAUUCUGUGAAGCUGACUGUUUAGAGGAAGGAAAAGUCGUAACA
This 319-nucleotide ribosomal RNA is filed under the name uncultured eukaryote. Its description in RNAcentral is "partial 18S ribosomal RNA". It matches the Rfam family "Eukaryotic small subunit ribosomal RNA", at positions 1470 to 1796 of the family's 1831-position model. The record is from RNAcentral.